RNAcentral lists this ribosomal RNA (472 nucleotides) under uncultured bacterium. RNAcentral's name for it is "bacterial SSU rRNA". It matches the Rfam family "Bacterial small subunit ribosomal RNA", at positions 39 to 502 of the family's 1533-position model. The record is from RNAcentral.
GCGGCAGGCCUAACACAUGCAAGUCGAGGGGUAACAGAGAGAAGCUUACUUUUCUGCUGACGACCGGCGCACGGGUGCGUAACGCGUAUACAAUCUGCCUUAUACAGAGGGAUAGCCUUUAGAAAUGAAGAUUAAUACCUUAUAGUCUAUUUUUAUAGCAUUAUAUAAAUAGUAAAGCUUCGGUGGUAUAAGAUGAGUAUGCGUCCUAUUAGUUAGUUGGUAAGGUAACGGCUUACCAAGACAACGAUAGGUAGGGGCCCUGAGAGGGGGAUCCCCCACACUGGUACUGAGACACGGACCAGACUCCUACGGGAGGCAGCAGUGAGGAAUAUUGGACAAUGGAGGCAACUCUGAUCCAGCCAUGCCGCGUGCAGGAUGACGGCCCUAUGGGUUGUAAACUGCUUUUAUAUAGGAAGAAACCUUUUCACGUGUGAGAAGCUGACGGUACUAUAAGAAUAAGGACCGGCUAACU